Molecule: non-coding RNA, 2914 nt
Organism: Aegilops tauschii subsp. strangulata
Lineage: Eukaryota; Viridiplantae; Streptophyta; Magnoliopsida; Poales; Poaceae
Source: RefSeq, a predicted model, not a curated record
UUUGAUUGAUUUUGCUCGUCCUCGGUUCAUCCGUUUAGAUAGAAAAUCGCGUCUGGUUUCAUUUUGCUCGUCCUCGCCGUCACCCGUUUAGCAUCGCUUCCGAGUUGAUUUUGCUCGUCCUCGCCGUCGCCAGUUUAGAGUCGCGUGUGAUUUGAUUUUGCUCGUCCUCGCCGCCGCCCGUUUAGAAUCGCUUCCGAGUUGAUUUUGCAGGUCCUCGCCGUCGUCAGUUUAGAGUUGCGUGUGAUUUGAUUCUGCUCGUCCUCCUCCUCGUCCGUUUAGAUCAGAAAUCGCGUCUGUUUUGAGUUUUCUUUGUCCUCGCCGUCGUCAAUAUAGAUAGAAUCGCGUCUUGAUUUGAUUUUGCUCGUUCUCGUCCAGUCCGUUUGGAAUCGCGUCUGAUUUGAUUCUCCUCGAUCCCCUGUGUUGCUGCUGGGUUCUUUACACUGAUGCUCUCGCGUGUUCUUCGUGCCGUCUCAUCGGGGGUAUCCGUGGAGGAAGCGAGCGGUCGGUCCGUCGGUCGGUUUGGGUUGUCUGGUUUGCGAACUAACAAGUCUGUUUGAGAAACUUCUGCGUGCGCUUCUGUUAUCUGAGAGACGCUCACGUUCCUGCGUUUCAUGUUCGCGUCGGGCCCUUGUUCGCGUCUGCUUUUGAAAUUGGAAUUGCUGUUUAUCAUGCUCGUUCAGAUCGGUUCCUCUGUUCCGUUACCUGCGCUGUUCGUCGGUUACUUUCAUAUCUCAAACGCAUGCGCCCUUUGAUACUGCUUGAUGGAUGUUCAGAUCUCAAAUGUUGCGUUGUUCAGAUCGGUUAUUUUGAUUGAAAUUGGGUUGUUGGCCCUCUGUCGUUUCUUAUUCUACUUGAUGGAUGUUCAGGGUGUUACUAUGUUGUUUUCAAUUGCUUACUCUUGUCAUGCUUUGCUCAUGUUCCCAUAUAUGGUGAUGUGUAUUCAGGGGUGCAAACCAUUUAGGCAGAAAGUUUUACAAGAGUGCAAACCAUGUGGCCUUCUUUUCUUCCUCAUGUUGCUAUUUCCAUUUAACUGCUCAUCAUACGAGUACUAGAUGUCGAGGUGCUGCUAGUUAGUCCCCCUUAGACUUUGUUCUAGAUAAAAGAGCAUAACUCCAGAAUUUAUUUAUCUGUAAAAGCUUGUUCAUCACAUGUUUUUUUGUCAAUGCUGCUAACUUUAUAGCUUUCUGAGAUUACUUCGGUCUUGCAUGUAUUAGCUUUCUGUUUGUGCCCCUAUCUAAGUCUGUUUCUUGUGUGCAAGCGCUCCAUUCUGUGUGUGUCACUGUUGUGUGGCUUGAUGGUGAAUAUGUGUGGUUUGACUCUGUGUGUGUGUGGCUUGAUGGUGAAUAUGUGUGGCUUGACUCUGUGUGUGUGUGUGGCUUGAUUGUGUGUGUGGCUUGACUGUGUGUGGCUUGAUGGUGAAUUUGUGUGUGGCUUGACUGUGUGUGUGACCCUGUGAAUAUAUUACAUUUGCUUGAUGGUGUGGCUUGACUGUGUGUGUGUGACCCUGUGAAUAUUACAUUUGCUUGAUGGUGUGGCUUGACUGUGUGUGGCUUGAUGGUGAAUUUGUGUGUCGCUUGACUGUGUGUGUGUGACCCUGUGAAUAUUGCAUUUGCUUGAUGGUGUGGCUUGUAUGCUUUGUUGAAUGAUUGGUUGUAUAACUUGUGUUUUAUAUUGUUGUGGCAUGAUUGAUUGCUGUUUGUUGAAUGCGAACUCGUAUCUUGACGAAUAAUCAUGUAUGCUAACUUGGUAUUGGUAGUUCCUGAUCACCUAUUACUUGUUUAGUGUAGACUGACUAUUCUUUUUUCUGAACUUUUUUGUGAUUAUGUCUUCACAUUGCACUGCUCGAUCCAUAUCGACAUGCCCACGCUGUCUGGUGAGGAUAAAGAUGUUAUGAGAAAGAUAGGGUGCCCCAACCAAGAUUGACUUCCUCUCUCUUUCUUAUACAAGGCAUGCAGAAGAUGUGUGGCAAGUAACUCAUUAUGUCAGAUAUUUAGAGUGCAUGGGAGUUCCUCUCAAAGUUAGGUGAUCUUAGCCAAACUCUGAUUUUUGCCAAAAUUGAGAAUGUGGAGGGCUUGAACCAUUUUGAUGAGAUCCUGGAAGAAGCAGAUGGUAUAAUUCUGUCAAGAGGAAACUUUGGAAUUGAUCUUCAACCUGAAAAGGUGUUCUUAUUUCAGAAGUCUGCUCUGCACAAGUGCAACAUGGCUGGAAAGCCCUGCUGUUGUUACUCAUGUUGUGGACUGUAUGACGGACAACCUAAGGCCUGCUCGCGCGGAGGCAACUGAUGUGGCAAAAAUGCGGUGCUGGACGGUUAGUUUUUGCCUCUUGCUGACAUCUUAUACUUUGGUGAUCCUGUAAGUUUUUGCCUCUUGCAGAAUCCGAUGAAAGUUCUGAUUCCAAAAGCUCUGACUCUGAGAAGCCAGCUACCGAAGUGAAGAAUCCUGCGGGUUGCUACUGCACAAAAGAAAAACCAGGAAUUGGACGGCUCUAGCAGUGAUUCUGAUCGGCUAUCAGGAGGCCGACUGCAGGCCGACUGAGCCCAGUCGGCCCACAGCAGGCCGAUCGGCUAUCAGGAGGCCGACUGUAGGCCGGGUAGCCACGCGGCGGCCGUUGGUUGGUCGUGCCACGUCGCGAGGGGGGAGGCAGCGGCCUGUCGGCGUGGUGCGCCCCUGUCGGCGUCCCGCCCACCGAUCGGCCACCUGGUGGCCGACAGGGUGCGGCCGACCUGACGCGCGUUGGCCAGCCCGCCCUUAUCCUCUCCUUCUCUCUUUCCUGCAUUAUUUCUUCUCCCUGCCCGCCCAUAUCCUCUCCUUCCUCCAUUAUUCUUCUCCCGUGGCUCAUUCUGCUGUGUUCUUCCUCCUCUCUCUACAGAAAAAUGGCACACAUUUGUACACCUAAAUGAGCUACAUUUUCGCGA